This 460-nucleotide ribosomal RNA is filed under the name uncultured bacterium. Its description in RNAcentral is "partial 16S ribosomal RNA". It matches the Rfam family "Bacterial small subunit ribosomal RNA", at positions 338 to 795 of the family's 1533-position model. The record is from RNAcentral.
CCUACGGGAGGCAGCAGUGUGGAAUAUUGGUCAAUGGGCGUGAGUCUGAACCAGCCAAGUAGCGUGAAGGAUGACUGCCCUAUGGGUUGUAAACCUCUUUUAUAAAGGAAUAAAACGCGGCACGUGUGCCUUUUUGCAUGUACUUUAUGAAUAAGGAUCGGCUAACUCCGUGCCAGCAGCCGCGGUAAUACGGAGGAUCCGAGCGUUAUCCGGAUUUAUUGGGUUUAAAGGGAGCGUAGGUGGGUUGUUAAGUCAGUUGUGAAAGUUUGGGGCUCAACCGUAAAAUUGCAAGUGAUACUGGGAGGCUUGAGUACAGUUGAGGUAGGCGGAAUGCGUGGUGUAGCGGUGAAAUGCUUAGAUAUCACGAAGAACCCCGAUUGCGAAGGCAGCUUACUAAGCUGUGACUGACGUUGAUGCACGAAAGUGUGGGUAUCAAACAGGAUUAGAUACCCUUGUAGUC